GAGCUAUCCGUUGGUCUUAGGAACCAAAAAAUUGGUGCAACUCCAAAUAAAAGUA
Molecule: transfer RNA, 55 nt
Filed under: Equus sp.
Lineage: Eukaryota; Metazoa; Chordata; Mammalia; Perissodactyla; Equidae
Also listed under: 1 other name
Description: partial tRNA-Leu
Source: RNAcentral